Molecule: ribosomal RNA, 492 nt
Filed under: uncultured bacterium
Lineage: Bacteria
Description: partial 16S ribosomal RNA
Rfam family: Bacterial small subunit ribosomal RNA
Source: RNAcentral
AGUGAACGCUGGCGGUAGGCCUAACACAUGCAAGUCGAACGGCAGCACAGUAAGCGCUUGCUCUUACGGGUGGCGACUGGCGGACGGGUGAGGAAUACAUCGGAAUCUACUUUUUCGUGGGGGAUAACGUAGGGAAACUUCCGCUACUACCGCAUACGACCUACGGGUGAAAGCAGGGGUUCUUCGGACCUUGCGCGAUUGAAUGAGCCGAUGUCGGAUUAGCUAGUUGGCGGGGUAAGGGCCCACCAAGCCGACGAUCCGUAGCUGGUCUGCGAGGAUGGUCGGCCGCACUGGAACGGGAACACGGUCCAGACUCCUACGGGAGGCACCAGUGGGGAAUAUUGGACAAUGGGCGCAAGCCUGCUCCAGCCAUACCGCGUGGGUGAAGAAGGCCUUCGGGUUGUAAAGCCCUUUUGUUGGGAAAGAAAAGCAGCAGGUUAAUACCCCGCUGUUCUGACGGUAACCAAAGAAUAAGCACCGGCUAACUUCGUG